Molecule: unclassified non-coding RNA, 422 nt
Filed under: Bombus terrestris (buff-tailed bumblebee)
Lineage: Eukaryota; Metazoa; Arthropoda; Insecta; Hymenoptera; Apidae
Description: misc RNA ENSBTSG00005026143.1
Source: RNAcentral
AGAUAUAGUAUGCUCUUAAAAUUCAUCGUACUUACAAUAUAACACGUCAUGAAGUUCCAAAUUUAAAAUAUUCCUUCGGAAAUGUCAGAUUUAAACAAAACCCUCUCCAAUAUCCGUACGAUUAAAGAUAACAAAUAUAUGUCGGUUGAAAAAUAUUUAAAAAUAUAUGAAUAGGUUAAUAUCUCCCAAGAAGACGAUAUUAUGCUCAGGGCCGGAGCAAAGCAAAAUGAUGAUACCAUUAACAGAUGCAAGACAUUUUUGUAGUAGCGAUGAUUCGGUUUAAAGGAGUGAGAAAAAUCAUGAAAGUUCUGUGUAACUUCAUAAAGUCCUCAUAUCCUUGAAACUACUUUAUAUAAAAGAAAUCCAGGCGCUUUCAGAGAAAUGUACUUUUUAGAGAAAUUAAACUACAUCAAUAGUUUUUU